CUACGGGCUGCUGCAGUGAGGAAUAUUGCACAAUGGGGGGAACCCUGAUGCAGCAACGCCGCGUGGAGGAUGACGCAUUUCGGUGUGUAAACUCCUUUUAUAUGUCAAGAAAAUGACGGUAGCAUAUGAAUAAGCACCGGCUAACUCCGUGCCAGCAGCCGCGGUAAUACGGAGGGUGCAAGCGUUACUCGGAAUCACUGGGCGUAAAGUACGCGUAGGCGGGUUGGAAAGUCAGGUGUGAAAUCCUACAGCUUAACUGUAGAACUGCACUUGAAACUUCUAGUCUAGAGUAUGGGAGGGGAGAUGGAAUUAGUGGUGUAGGGGUAAAAUCCGUAGAUAUCACUAGGAAUACCCAAAGCGAAGGCGAUCUCCUGGAACAUUACUGACGCUAAGGCGUGAAAGCGUGGGGAGCAAACAGGAUUAGAUACCCGAGUAGUC
Molecule: ribosomal RNA, 438 nt
Filed under: uncultured bacterium
Lineage: Bacteria
Description: partial 16S ribosomal RNA
Rfam family: Bacterial small subunit ribosomal RNA
Source: RNAcentral